GUGCCCAUAGCUCAGCAGGAUAGAGCGUCGGUUUCCUAAACCGCAGGCCGGAGGUUCGAAUCCUCUUGGGCACACCA
Molecule: transfer RNA, 77 nt
Filed under: Clostridium sp.
Lineage: Bacteria; Bacillati; Bacillota; Clostridia; Eubacteriales; Clostridiaceae
Also listed under: 5 other names
Description: tRNA-Arg
Rfam family: tRNA
About the family: Transfer RNA (tRNA) molecules are approximately 80 nucleotides in length. Their secondary structure includes four short double-helical elements and three loops (D, anti-codon, and T loops).
Source: RNAcentral